Molecule: ribosomal RNA, 858 nt
Filed under: uncultured bacterium
Lineage: Bacteria
Description: bacterial SSU rRNA
Rfam family: Bacterial small subunit ribosomal RNA
Source: RNAcentral
UAUCCGGAUUUAAUGGGUUUAAAAGGGUGGGUAGGCGGCCCCUUAAGUCGGCGGUGAAAUUUCCGGGCUCAACCCGGUCACUGCCGUCGAAACUGGGGGGCUUGAGUGCGUUUGGGGUGGCUGGAAUGUGCGGUGUAGCGGUGAAAUGCAUAGAUAUCGCACAGAACGCCGAUCGCGGAGGCAGGUCACCAAGCCGCAACUGACGCUGAGGCACGAAAGCGCGGGGAUCGAACAGGAUUAGAUACCCUGGUAGUCCGCGCAGUAAACGAUGGACGCUCGCCGUUCGGCAUAGCGCCGAGUGGGCCAAGCGAAAGCGAUAAGCGUCCCACCUGGGGGAGUACGCCGGCAACGGUGAAACUCAAAGGAAUUGACGGGGGCCCGCACAAGCGGAGGAACAUGUGGUUUAAUUCGAUGAUACGCGAGGAACCUUACCCGGGCUUGAAAGUUAGCGACGGACCUGGAAACAGGUCUUCCCUUCGGGGCGCGAAACUAGGUGCUGCAUGGUUGUCGUCAGCUCGUGCCGUGAGGUGUCGGCUUAAGUGCCAUAACGAGCGCAACCCCUGCCGCCAGUUGCCAGCGAGUUAAGUUGGGGACUCUGGCGGGACUGCCACCGCAAGGUGCGAGGAAGGCGGGGAUGACGUCAAAUCAGCACGGCCCUUACGUCCGGGGCGACACACGUGUUACAAUGGGGGGUACAGAGGGCAGCGACCUGGCGGCAGGGAGCGAAUCUCAGAAAGCCCCUCUCAGUUCGGAUCGGAGUCUGCAACUCGACUCCGUGAAGCUGGAUUCGCUAGUAAUCGCGCAUCAGCCAUGGCGCGGUGAAUACAAUCCCGGGCCUUGUACUCACCGCCCGUCAAG